RNAcentral lists this non-coding RNA (23 nucleotides) under Cricetulus griseus (Chinese hamster). Lineage: Eukaryota; Metazoa; Chordata; Mammalia; Rodentia; Cricetidae. The record is from RNAcentral.
GAUGGAAGAUGAUAAGAACAGGG